AGAUUUGCUCUGGAGAGAAUUGAAGCAGUGCAAUACUUCUAGAAGAAGGACUGGGCAGUAACCCCCACCAAAAACAAUCUAAGAUUUACCAGAUGCUUCUUCUGAUUGGUUCAUUCAAGACUGGCUUUACUGAAAAGACAAGCAGAGCAAUCAGUAAAUCCUGGGGCCAAAUGACAGACUCCGCACAGCAAGCUCCGAGUGACUGAUCCUUCGCUCCAAGCCUGGGUGACUGACUGUCUCAAUGAAUGAAUCACAAAUCUCCAAAACUCCUCUUUUUAAAGAUCUUUUUCUCUUGUGUCACCUCCUCUAAAUUUUCACGUCUACCAAUCACAGCAGAUGCUUUUCUCCAGGACUGCCCAUUCUUUAGUUCUCACCUUCUUUGGCUAGAUUUUAUCUUUUUGGGUUACUUAACACCUCUUUUGGUAAGUUCACCUUUUGGAGUUACUUAACACAUUUUUGUAGAUAAAAUCUAAAAAUAGAUUGUAGCUUACAUUUCUAGCUUCACUCUAAAGGAGGAGCGAAGUACCUUCAUUGUUACAAUCAGGAGAUAUCUAAAUCCAAUCUUCACAGUAUCCAGUUUCUUUAAAUGUCAUACAGCCAACUCAUGUAAAAUAUGAUAGUGGGUUUGUUUGCUUUUGUAAUUAACUGGACUAUUGUGAAUUUGGGGACUUUGGUACUUCUUUGAAUGUGCAUUAUCUGCUGUAUUACUGUUUUAUUCUAAAAGUCAUUUUGUACUCACACAUGGUUGACACAGUGUGUCACUGAU
Molecule: non-coding RNA, 766 nt
Organism: Monodelphis domestica (gray short-tailed opossum)
Lineage: Eukaryota; Metazoa; Chordata; Mammalia; Didelphimorphia; Didelphidae
Source: RefSeq, a predicted model, not a curated record